RNAcentral lists this ribosomal RNA (253 nucleotides) under uncultured bacterium. RNAcentral describes it as "partial 16S ribosomal RNA". It matches the Rfam family "Bacterial small subunit ribosomal RNA", at positions 524 to 776 of the family's 1533-position model. The record is from RNAcentral.
UACGAAGGGGGCUAGCGUUGCUCGGAAUCAUUGGGCGUAAAGGGCGCGUAGGCGGGCUCUUAAGUCAGGGGUGAAAGCCCAAGGCUCAACCUUGGAAUUGCCUUUGAUACUGAGGGCCUUGAGACCGGAAGAGGUCGGCGGAACUGCGAGUGUAGAGGUGAAAUUCGUAGAUAUUCGCAAGAACACCAGUGGCGAAGGCGGCCGACUGGUCCGGUUCUGACGCUGAGGAGCGAAAGCGUGGGGAGCGAACAGG